Molecule: long non-coding RNA, 1154 nt
Filed under: Anser brachyrhynchus (Pink-footed goose)
Lineage: Eukaryota; Metazoa; Chordata; Aves; Anseriformes; Anatidae
Description: lncRNA (ENSABRG00000005778.1)
Source: RNAcentral
GAUACACACAUCUACUUCCAGGUAUGCAUCGACAAAAUUUCUGAGCUUGUGAUCGCAAGUAGCACAAAUUCUUAAUGUGCAACAGUAAGAUGCAAACCGCAAAUAAAAAUAUAGAGAGGAAAAGCCAAGAGCUGCAGCUUUUUUCCCUUUGAGUGUUGGAACGCAUGUUCAAGGGCUAAACAGUUCCCACUAUAAUAUUUCAGGGGCAUUACAUUACAGCAGAAGUUGUACGGUGUCCAGGUUGGAGGUCCUUUCAGUUUUCAUACAUCAUUUACCUCCCACCUUCUUAUUUAUAUUCUGGAAUCCCGGCCAGCUGUGGUCAAACAUCUAAGUCCCGAAUAAAAUUAAAUGUGACGGCAGGCUAGCUAUUGGAGCAGCUAUUAUUAGAGCCUGAGGGAGUUUUGGCCUUAGCUGAAGAAGUAACUUCAAACACCGAAGGUUCCUGACGUCUACAGCUGGCUGAAGUCCAGUACCGUAAGAUAAUGCGAAACAAGCCUGUGGUCUUUUCCCUGAUUUCAGCAGCACUGUGUGUAUGGACCUUCAGAGGGUAUUUUGGAGGGAAAAGAAAGCGAUCGGGAAAAAAGUUCAAUUAUUUAUGGUGAGUAGAUGGAUUUAGAAGGUCUGCCUGCUUAGAGGCAUGACCAUGCAAAUCAGCUAGGCGGUUAAUGGACACAGAUAUCCUCUCACAGCCUUGGGGGUGUUUACAAUAUGUAUGUGCUAGAGGCAUGUAUUGCCCUUUGCACAUAAAAGAAAGAUGUAUUGUGCUGUUUUAAAUUUACGAUCCUCAUUAAAUUAACUCUGCAGUAGAAUAUUUAUGCACAUUAUCAAACACUAUAUAUUUUAUACAGUUGGGCACAUCUUCAGUGACACAAUACCCUGACUUUCCAAGGCAAGAGGGUUCAGCUGGGUCCCUAGUCCAGAACUUUCGGCUGAUUUUAUCCAUUUUUUUUACUGAUACUUACCUCCUUUUCAUGAGGCAGAUCCUUCACUCCAUACUUGUGACUUAUUCAUGCCAAACCUUCUUGGACCUCAGUAAGAGCUUUUCCUGGGAAACUUCUAACUGCAUGUCCAGCCACUUCAGACUCACAUGCGGAGCUGCUCCAUGGGCAAUGAUUUUCCAUUACUGCAACAGCCAGAAAGUGGAAGGACUCUAG